GUAGCACACCCAGCUUGCUGUGCAAGGCGUCUGGGAGUGCCAGACGGGUCAUUAAUUCAAAGGGGCCGUGAUGCAGACCAAGCAGCUGACUUGGUUGGGACCCCAUCAGUCUCUGCCACUGAGGGAUUGCUGGAACCCGGAGCAUCCCGGACUUGGGUUGCAGCCUGCUCUCUUUUGCCUUCAGGACAAGAAAGUGCCCGCCAGCCCCCUCCAGCUCCUUCAUCGCUCAUCCUGAAGUCUGGCCACCUUCCCUGUCCCUGUGCCGGCGGCUGGGAGCUUUCAUUCAAGUGGAAUGUAUCUGCAGACUUUUGUAGCACUUCAUUUACAUGUAUGCCAACAAGCCGAAAUGUGCAGCAACCUUGGAGCACUUUCAAAGGCGGGAAUAAUUCCUCUGAAAUAGGUCUUUGGAAAAGCUUUAUCUUGUCCUUUCUUUUUUUGUUAAAUCUUGGAGCCCCUUAGCAUGUCAAAGCAAUUUUUCUAAUGUCACAUCUCCUAGACAUUAGCAUGAAAGGGCUUUAAGAGAUGAUUUGAGAAAGAAUAAAUGUUGAAUGAGCAUUUAUUAUAGAGUCGUUUAUGCUACAUUUGCAUUUUGACUCUAUUUCUGCAAGGCAGCCUGAGAAGCAAGCUGAUUUGAAAGUCAAUGGUGUCUAAAUAGGCGAGGCUAAGACUGUUUACACUGGGCUGUUUCCUCCUCACAUUCAUUUACAGAAAGAGAAAAUUUCAUUGGGCUGAUUUGUUUUCAGAAAUGAGAUUAAGUGGAGCUUGUGUGCCUUAAUGCAGAGGUGGAAUCUCACCAGAAUUGACCCAGUAGUGGGAAGAUCGUGGGGUAAAGCCUGGAGAAGUCCUUUCUAAGCCCCAAUUUCUCUCUCUGCACCUUAAGAAAACUAAU
Molecule: long non-coding RNA, 889 nt
Organism: Chinchilla lanigera (long-tailed chinchilla)
Lineage: Eukaryota; Metazoa; Chordata; Mammalia; Rodentia; Chinchillidae
Source: Ensembl